Long non-coding RNA from Nerophis ophidion (straightnose pipefish), 582 nucleotides. RefSeq lists it as uncharacterized. The record is from RefSeq and is a predicted model, not a curated record. The transcript has 2 exons. Lineage: Eukaryota; Metazoa; Chordata; Actinopteri; Syngnathiformes; Syngnathidae.
CACCAGCGCUGACUACCUAAAUAGCUCAUAAACGACGGUGAAUGGAGUCAAACGCCACAGGUGUCCAGUGUUAACUGUCGACUCCAGGAACCGGCUGCCAACACAGCCAUUACCAAGCAAUGGAAAAGAGUGUUUUGGCCCGGUACACCUCUAUUUUACUUGGAAUGCCUGACCUCGCCUUUCCUGCCUCAGGUUUUGUUGACCCAACAAAACAAAUUUCCCUCUUUGCAUGGCCGACAGGCUGCUCCUUCCUGGCAAUAGAGGGACUGGAGAAUUACCACGGAGAGGAGGGAAAGGGACAGCCAAUGUGGAGUGUUGGCAGAAACUUGCGGUGACAGCAAAGCUGACUGACUGGUCUCCAAAUUUUACACUCUAAAGUGGAAACAAGAUCUUUUAUCAUAUCUUUGUCCCAACUUUUUUUUUAAAAAGCAACACACCUUAAUGUGCCGUGAACCACACCUGUCACACAUUCACAAACAAUCAGGUGGAACUCAUCAAACUUAGCAUUUUUUCAUACAGUGCAAUUUGAAAAGAGAAAGAUUAGAGAGUGGGCCAUGAAUAAAAUAACAUAGUGAAAGCUGA